Molecule: ribosomal RNA, 163 nt
Filed under: Mourera elegans
Lineage: Eukaryota; Viridiplantae; Streptophyta; Magnoliopsida; Malpighiales; Podostemaceae
Description: 5.8S ribosomal RNA
Rfam family: 5.8S ribosomal RNA
About the family: 5.8S ribosomal RNA (5.8S rRNA) is a component of the large subunit of the eukaryotic ribosome. It is transcribed by RNA polymerase I as part of the 45S precursor that also contains 18S and 28S rRNA.
Source: RNAcentral
AAACGACUCUUGGCAACGGAUAUCUCGGCUCUUGCAUCGAUGAAGAACGUAGCGAAAUGCGAUACUUGGUGUGAAUUGCAGAAUCCCGUGAACCAUCGAGUUUUUGAACGCAAGUUGCGCCCGAAGCCUUUUGGCCGAGGGCACGCCUGCCUGGGCAUCAUGA